ACGAACGCUGGCGGCGUGCCUAAUACAUGCAAGUCGAACGAACUCUGGUAUUGAUUGGUGCUUGCAUCAUGAUUUACAUUUGAGUGAGUGGCGAACUGGUGAGUAACACGUGGGAAACCUGCCCAGAAGCGGGGGAUAACACCUGGAAACAGAUGCUAAUACCGCAUAACAACUUGGACCGCAUGGUCCGAGCUUGAAAGAUGGCUUCGGCUAUCACUUUUGGAUGGUCCCGCGGCGUAUUAGCUAGAUGGUGGGGUAACGGCUCACCAUGGCAAUGAUACGUAGCCGACCUGAGAGGGUAAUCGGCCACAUUGGGACUGAGACACGGCCCAAACUCCUACGGGAGGCAGCAGUAGGGAAUCUUCCACAAUGGACGAAAGUCUGAUGGAGCAACGCCGCGUGAGUGAAGAAGGGUUUCGGCUCGUAAAACUCUGUUGUUAAAGAAGAACAUAUCUGAGAGUAACUGUUCAGGUAUUGACGGUAUUUAACCAGAAAGCCACGGCUAACUACGUGCCAGCAGCCGCGGUAAUACGUAGGUGGCAAGCGUUGUCCGGAUUUAUUGGGCGUAAAGCGAGCGCAGGCGGUUUUUUAAGUCUGAUGUGAAAGCCUUCGGCUCAACCGAAGAAGUGCAUCGGAAACUGGGAAACUUGAGUGCAGAAGAGGACAGUGGAACUCCAUGUGUAGCGGUGAAAUGCGUAGAUAUAUGGAAGAACACCAGUGGCGAAGGCGGCUGUCUGGUCUGUAACUGACGCUGAGGCUCGAAAGUAUGGGUAGCAAACAGGAUUAGAUACCCUGGUAGUCCAUACCGUAAACGAUGAAUGCUAAGUGUUGGAGGGUUUCCGCCCUUCAGUGCUGCAGCUAACGCAUUAAGCAUUCCGCCUGGGGAGUACGGCCGCAAGGCUGAAACUCAAAGGAAUUGACGGGGGCCCGCACAAGCGGUGGAGCAUGUGGUUUAAUUCGAAGCUACGCGAAGAACCUUACCAGGUCUUGACAUACUAUGCAAAUCUAAGAGAUUAGACGUUCCCUUCGGGGACAUGGAUACAGGUGGUGCAUGGUUGUCGUCAGCUCGUGUCGUGAGAUGUUGGGUUAAGUCCCGCAACGAGCGCAACCCUUAUUAUCAGUUGCCAGCAUUAAGUUGGGCACUCUGGUGAGACUGCCGGUGACAAACCGGAGGAAGGUGGGGAUGACGUCAAAUCAUCAUGCCCCUUAUGACCUGGGCUACACACGUGCUACAAUGGAUGGUACAACGAGUUGCGAACUCGCGAGAGUAAGCUAAUCUCUUAAAGCCAUUCUCAGUUCGGAUUGUAGGCUGCAACUCGCCUACAUGAAGUCGGAAUCGCUAGUAAUCGCGGAUCAGCAUGCCGCGGUGAAUACGUUCCCGGGCCUUGUACACACCGCCCGUCACACCAUGAGAGUUUGUAACACCCAAAGUCGGUGGGGUAACCUUUUAGGAACCAGCCGCCUAAGGUGGGACAGA
Molecule: ribosomal RNA, 1477 nt
Filed under: Lactiplantibacillus plantarum
Lineage: Bacteria; Bacillati; Bacillota; Bacilli; Lactobacillales; Lactobacillaceae
Description: bacterial SSU rRNA
Rfam family: Bacterial small subunit ribosomal RNA
Source: RNAcentral